AUUGAACUCUGGCGGCAUGCCUUACACAUGCAAGUCGAACGGCAGCACGGAGCUUGCUCUGGUGGCGAGUGGCGAACGGGUGAGUAAUAUAUCGGAACGUACCCUAGAGUGGGGGAUAACGUAGCGAAAGUUACGCUAAUACCGCAUACGAUCUAAGGAUGAAAGUGGGGGAUCGCAAGACCUCAUGCUCGUGGAGCGGCCGAUAUCUGAUUAGCUAGUUGGUAGGGUAAAAGCCUACCAAGGCAUCGAUCAGUAGCUGGUCUGAGAGGACGACCAGCCACACUGGAACUGAGACACGGUCCAGACUCCUACGGGAGGCAGCAGUGGGGAAUUUUGGACAAUGGGCGAAAGCCUGAUCCAGCAAUGCCGCGUGAGUGAAGAAGGCCUUCGGGUUGUAAAGCUCUUUUGUCAGGGAAGAAACGGUGGGAGCUAAUAUCUCUUGCUAAUGACGGUACCUGAAGAAUAAGCACCGGCUAACUACGUGCCAGCAGCCGCGGUAAUACGUAGGGUGCAAGCGUUAAACGGAAUUACUGGGCGUAAAGCGUGCGCAGGCGGUUUUGUAAGUCUGAUGUGAAAUCCCCGGGCUCAACCUGGGAAUUGCAUUGGAGACUGCAAGGCUAGAAUCUGGCAGAGGGGGGUAGAAUUCCACGUGUAGCAGUGAAAUGCGUAGAUAUGUGGAGGAACACCGAUGGCGAAGGCAGCCCCCUGGGUCAAGAUUGACGCUCAUGCACGAAAGCGUGGGGAGCAAACAGGAUUAGAUACCCUGGUAGUCCACGCCCUAAACGAUGUCUACUAGUUGUCAGGUCUUAAUUGACUUGGUAACGCAGCUAACGCGUGAAGUAGACCGCCUGGGGAGUACGGUCGCAAGAUUAAAACUCAAAGGAAUUGACGGGGACCCGCACAAGCGGUGGAUGAUGUGGAUUAAUUCGAUGCAACGCGAAAAACCUUACCUACCCUUGACAUGGCUGGAAUCCUUGAGAGAUCAGGGAGUGCUCGAAAGAGAACCAGUACACAGGUGCUGCAUGGCUGUCGUCAGCUCGUGUCGUGAGAUGUUGGGUUAAGUCCCGCAACGAGCGCAACCCUUGUCAUUAGUUGCUACGAAAGGGCACUCUAAUGAGACUGCCGGUGACAAACCGGAGGAAGGUGGGGAUGACGUCAAGUCCUCAUGGCCCUUAUGGGUAGGGCUUCACACGUCAUACAAUGGUACAUACAGAGCGCCGCCAACCCGCGAGGGGGAGCUAAUCGCAGAAAGUGUAUCGUAGUCCGGAUUGUAGUCUGCAACUCGACUGCAUGAAGUUGGAAUCGCUAGUAAUCGCGGAUCAGCAUGUCGCGGUGAAUACGUUCCCGGGUCU
RNAcentral lists this ribosomal RNA (1352 nucleotides) under uncultured bacterium. RNAcentral describes it as "bacterial SSU rRNA". It matches the Rfam family "Bacterial small subunit ribosomal RNA", at positions 28 to 1381 of the family's 1533-position model. The record is from RNAcentral.